This 685-nucleotide ribosomal RNA is filed under the name Haliscomenobacter sp. RNAcentral's name for it is "bacterial SSU rRNA". It matches the Rfam family "Bacterial small subunit ribosomal RNA", at positions 66 to 746 of the family's 1533-position model. The record is from RNAcentral. Lineage: Bacteria; Pseudomonadati; Bacteroidota; Saprospiria; Saprospirales; Haliscomenobacteraceae.
GGAGAAGCUAGGUGCUGUGCACUUAGUGGAAACCGGCGAACGGGUGCGUAACACGUACGCAAUCUACCCUUUACAGAGGAAUAGCCCCGAGAAAUUGGGAUUAAUACCUCAUAGUAUUAUUGAAAGGCAUCUUUUAAUAAUUAAAGUUCAGGCGGUAAAGGAUGAGCGUGCGGCUCAUUAGCUAGUUGGUAAGGUAAUGGCUUACCAAGGCAACGAUGAGUAGCCGGCGUGAGAGCGCGAUCGGCCACACUGGCACUGAGACACGGGCCAGACUCCUACGGGAGGCAGCAGUAGGGAAUAUUGGACAAUGGAGGAAACUCUGAUCCAGCCAUCCCGCGUGAAGGAUGACGGUCCUCUGGAUUGUAAACUUCUUUUAUAUGGGAAGAAACCUCGAGAUUUAUCUUGAGCUGACGGUACCAUAAGAAUAAGCACCGGCUAACUCCGUGCCAGCAGCCGCGGUAAUACGGAGGGUGCAAGCGUUAUCCGGAUUUACUGGGUUUAAAGGGUGCGCAGGCGGAAUGUUAAGUCAGUGGUGAAAUCUUACAGCUCAACUGUGAAAUUGCCAUUGAUACUGACAUUCUUGAAUAUAGUUGAGGUAGGCGGAAUUUGACAUGUAGCGGUGAAAUGCAUAGAUAUGUCAAGGAACACCAAUUGCGUANGCAGCUUACUAAGCUAUUAUUGACGC